UCUUUUCAGGUCAGAUUGCAUGACACAGCUUCUAGAUGAGCGUAAUCUAGGGGUUUUAACACAGUUUCAAAUAACCAUGAAGCAUAUUGGAGUAGUUUUCCAAAGUGUGUUAAAAUUUUAGAGAGGCUUGCUAGGAACCAGGAUGUUCCACAAGAAUACACCUACUACAGGAUCCCAUCACCAUGGCUUCAGAGUAUUGUAGGUUCUAGUUCAUGGUUGGACAGAGGCUACAGAGCAUUUGAAAGAGUACUGGUCAAAAAAUGUUUGCCCUCAUGUAUAUGCUUCCCAGAUCGAAGGGACAAUUGAUGUCAAAUCAGAUUUGUGUGCCUAUAGGGUAUCAGUAGGGAUGUCCUUAAGUUUUUUGUGGACAAGUAAUGGUUGAAUAUGCCAACUUGAAUUCUUAUAAUGCAGUCCUUAAGUUCUUUCAGACAGUCCUUAAUGGGCAACCAGAGACGAUACUUUCAGAUAUUUGCUAACAGUCUUCCUUUAUCCCAUCCAAGCUUUUCCUCUUAUUUAUUUAUUUUUGUCUUCUAUUGAUGUCAGUUGUAGAAUCAGAGUCCACCUCAAGGCUAGGGAGUCUGAAUUUCAACUUCCAGUCUCAAAUGUUGGACAUCUUGGACACUUGAGACUUCAGGUUUUUUGAUCUUGAUUUCCUCUUUUUGCUCUGUUCCUAAUUCCUAUUUGGGAAUUGAUGUGUACACCCAUCUUGGCAAUGUGAUUUCUUUAGUUUCUUGCGGUUUCUUUUGUUCAUGUAAGAGAUCAAUAUGAUUCAGAGACUUGAAAAUUAGACAGAAGAGGACAUUACCCAUAAAUGUGCUAAUGUGGUACACCUUCAAGAUCCAGGUCAUUCAACAAGUGGGAUGCAUUGUUGACAUACCCAGGCCAACAAAUCAGGCCCAUUCACUCAUUAGGUGGGUCACAUUUGAAAAUUGGAUAGACCGAUCACCAUCUCUUUUCUAAUCUCUUCUUCUUUGCAUAUUGUUUGUUUCAGCCUCUAUUGUUUGGAAUGGCAUUGUUUUAAUUGUUUUUAUAAUUGGGGCUUUUUGUUUUACUAUUUUCGUAAUGUAUGAUUUAUCAGUGAGGAAGAAGCAAAGAAGAAGAUCUAUAAUGUUUCUUAUGAUAGAUAUUUUGGUUUUGUAUGUGAGAUUGAUGAGGAGACCUCAAAUAAGCUAGAAGGAUGGUAUCAAGUGGUUUUAGAUUUAUGAUGAAAUUGUUUUCUGGUAAAUAUUUUUGCAAAUUGUACCUUAAAAAAAUAUUUUCCUGAUUUUAUCCUUCUCUCUACAGGUCUUCUUGGCAUCCUAUUUUUGCUGAGAUCAAGGACUAUGGAGGUUGAGGUUUCUCUGAGAGAUCUUAUACUCUCAGAUUAUGCCAAGAAGAAUAAUGUAAACACCUCGGCACUGACACAGUCUAAAAUUCAUGGUAUAAUACUGGGGGUUGAGAUAACUCCACCUUCACAACAGAGGCAACAGAUUAUGGAGAUUGAGA
This is a long non-coding RNA of Magnolia sinica, 1485 nucleotides long. RefSeq lists it as uncharacterized. The record is from RefSeq and is a predicted model, not a curated record. NCBI's taxonomy places the organism in Eukaryota, Viridiplantae, Streptophyta, Magnoliopsida, Magnoliales, Magnoliaceae. The transcript has 3 exons.